UACACAAUGAAUAAGUAGAAUUACAAGCGAUAUAAAAUUAGCCGCUGAUAAUUUGAAUUCUGUUGGACUCUUUUGAGGAUAAGCUCGGAAAUUGUUGCUGAGAAGUUGUAUAAAUUAAGGGUUAUUACUGUGUGGGCCUAAAAUUAGCCAGCACAAAAGUUUGUUAUAAAAUAAUAAAAUAUAUAAGAAUAAUUAUUAUACAAAAUACCACAUUAAAACUAUAAGAAUAAUAACUUAAACUGAUUAGUUAAUAUGCCUAUGCUAGGAUGAGUAUUCAAAUUAUUUAAGUUGAAAAGUAAACAUUUCCUUAAAAAAUAUUUCUAAUAUAAAUUAAAGAAAAGGAACUCGGCAAAUUGUUGUUUCGCCUGUUUAUCAAAAACAUGGCUCUCUGAAAAAAGCAUAUAGAGAGUCGAACCUGCCCAGUGAACAGUUUAAACGGCCGCGGUACCCUGACCGUGCAAAGGUAGCAUAAUCAUUUGCCUUAUAAUUGAAGGCUGGUAUGAAUGGUCUGACGAAAGCAAUACUGUCUCUUCUUUAUUAUCUAGAAAUUAACCUAUAGGUGAAGAGGCCUAUAUUAUAUUGAAGGACAAGAAGACCCUGUCGAGCUUUAAAGUAAAGUGGAACAUAACUAUUAAGAAAGAUUAAUAACUACAUAACUUUUUAGUUGGGGCGACUAAGGAACAAAUAAAGCUUCUUUUACUUUUGUAGAUUAAUAAAUUUAGAUCCAGCAAAGCUGAUUAAAGGAAUUAGUUACCGCAGGGAUAACAGCAUAAUCUCUCUUGAGAGACCAAAUCGAAAGAGGGGGUUGUGACCUCGAUGUUGGACUAAAAUAUCCUGGAGAUGCAGACGUCU
Molecule: ribosomal RNA, 852 nt
Filed under: Stenomelania denisoniensis
Lineage: Eukaryota; Metazoa; Mollusca; Gastropoda; Thiaridae
Description: partial large subunit ribosomal RNA
Rfam family: Bacterial large subunit ribosomal RNA
Source: RNAcentral